CCUACGGGAGGCUGCAGUGGGGAAUUUUGCGCAAUGCUCGUAAGAGUGACGCAGCGACGCCGCGUGAAUGACGAAGGCCUUCGGGUCGUAAAGUUCUUUCGACAGGGAAGAAAAUGCCUAUAAGUAACUGUGUAUGUAUUGACGGUACCUGUAUAAGCAGCCCCGGCUAACUCCGUGCCAGCAGCCGCGGUAAUACGGAGGGGGCGAGCGGUGUUCGGAGGGACUGGGCGUAAAGAGCACGUAGGCGGUGUUGUAAGUCAUUAGUCAAAGACUAGAGCUCAACUUUAGUAAGGCUAGUGAUACUAUAAUACUAGAGUAUCAGAGAGGAUUGCAGAAUUCCUGGUGUAGCGGUGAAAUGCGUAGAUAUCAGGAGGAAUACCGUUAGCGAAGGCGGCAAUCUGGCUGGAAACUGACGCUGAGGUGCGAAAGCGUGGGUAGCAAACAGGAUUAGAUACCCUUGUAGUC
RNAcentral lists this ribosomal RNA (465 nucleotides) under uncultured bacterium. RNAcentral describes it as "partial 16S ribosomal RNA". It matches the Rfam family "Bacterial small subunit ribosomal RNA", at positions 338 to 795 of the family's 1533-position model. The record is from RNAcentral.